RNAcentral lists this ribosomal RNA (1184 nucleotides) under Aeromonas hydrophila. Its description in RNAcentral is "partial 23S ribosomal RNA". It matches the Rfam family "Bacterial large subunit ribosomal RNA", at positions 1 to 1239 of the family's 2925-position model. RNAcentral also lists the same sequence under 1 other name. The record is from RNAcentral. Lineage: Bacteria; Pseudomonadati; Pseudomonadota; Gammaproteobacteria; Aeromonadales; Aeromonadaceae.
GGUUAAGUGACUAAGCGUACAUGGUGGAUGCCUUGGCAGUCAGAGGCGAUGAAGGACGUACUAACCUGCGAUAAGCCGUGAGCAGUCGGUAAGAGACAUUACGACUCACGGAUUUCCGAAUGGGGAAACCCACUUAGCAUAAGCUAGGUAUCGCUACGUGAAUACAUAGCGUAGCGAGGCGAACCGGGAGAACUGAAACAUCUAAGUACCCCGAGGAAAAGAAAUCAACCGAGAUUCCCUCAGUAGCGGCGAGCGAACGGGGAUUAGCCCUUAAGCAUCUUGGAAGUUAGUGGAACGGUCCUGGAAAGGCCGGCGAUACAGGGUGAUAGCCCCGUACACGAAAACAACCUUGAUGUGAAAUCGAGUAGGGCGGGACACGUGACAUCCUGUCUGAAUAUGGGGGGACCAUCCUCCAAGGCUAAAUACUCCUGACUGACCGAUAGUGAACCAGUACCGUGAGGGAAAGGCGAAAAGAACCCCUGUGAGGGGAGUGAAAUAGAACCUGAAACCGUGUACGUACAAGCAGUGGGAGCCCUUCGGGGUGACUGCGUACCUUUUGUAUAAUGGGUCAGCGACUUACAUUUUGUAGCGAGGUUAACCGUAUAGGGGAGCCGUAGGGAAACCGAGUCUUAACUGGGCGUCUAGUUGCAAGGUGUAGACCCGAAACCGGGUGAUCUAGCCAUGGGCAGGUUGAAGGUUGAGUAACAUCAACUGGAGGACCGAACCCACUAACGUUGCAAAGUUAGGGGAUGACCUGUGGCUGGGGGUGAAAGGCCAAUCAAACUCGGAGAUAGCUGGUUCUCCCCGAAAGCUAUUUAGGUAGCGCCUCGGACGAAUACUACUGGGGGUAGAGCACUGUUUGGGCUAGGGGGUCAUCCCGACUUACCAACCCCAUGCAAACUCCGAAUACCAGUAAGUAAUAUCCGGGAGACACACGGCGGGUGCUAACGUCCGUCGUGAAGAGGGAAACAACCCAGACCGCCGGCUAAGGUCCCAAAGUUCUGGUUAAGUGGGAAACGAUGUGGGAAGGCUCAGACAGCUAGGAUGUUGGCUUAGAAGCAGCCAUCAUUUAAAGAAAGCGUAAUAGCUCACUAGUCGAGUCGGCCUGCGCGGAAGAUGUAACGGGGCUCAAACCAGGCACCGAAGCCGCGGAUUCACGCUAAGCGUGAGUGGUAGGGGAGCGU